Molecule: long non-coding RNA, 822 nt
Organism: Leopardus geoffroyi (Geoffroy's cat)
Lineage: Eukaryota; Metazoa; Chordata; Mammalia; Carnivora; Felidae
Exons: 3
Source: RefSeq, a predicted model, not a curated record
AAGCAGAGCACACCUGACCCUCUUACUCGCUGACGUCCCAUCUCAACACAGAUGCUGUGGGUUCCUCACAUGUAGCAAAUGAAGAGGAAGGAACAGAACCAGCACAGGUGAUUCCCGUGGGGACGGAGGGGCUGCUAGAGGGAUAAAGUCUGAGGACCGUCCAGGGAAGCCUGAGCGCGCAGUUGCACGUGGCAGGUCCUAGGAGGGGGGUUGGCCUUCUUGGGCGGCCUCUGCGCAGGCGCGAGCUCGGGGAUGGGCGUGUGGGCGUGGCUACAGCCUCGUUGCGCCUGCGCGCAUGUCCGGCAGGGUCAGGUGACCGUUGAGCUCCCGCAGACGCCCUUGGCCCUUCCAGGUGAGGAACUGGCUUAGAGCUGCGGCUUCUCCUCCUGGAAGAUAUUCUUGCUGGAUUCUGAUUCCAUGUAUUUCCUCAAUUCUCAAAUAAUGAUGCAGCUUAGAAGACAGAAGACUAAGAAUGCCCUAGAUUUUUGGUGGAAGAACUUCUGAGGGAGUCGGGGACGCCUGUGAGACACACACACUCGCUGCCAGUCCCUUAGUUGUCUGACAUCAGUAUUUACUGCUCCUUCCCUAUGAGCCCCUCUCUGCCAUCAGGGAUCAUGAAAAAGCUGGCAGGGUGUGUCCAUUGGCACCAGCUGCUCCUUCUGUGUCUCCAGCCAUCACAAGCAGCCCCAGGACCUCCAGGUGGGUGGAAAUUAAAGUACAGCCUCCCCAGGAUUUGGGGGUUUCCAUUUUCCUCUGCUGGUUUCUUUCUUUUUCUUUUUUUUUUUUUUUUGUAAUUUUUUUAAGGUUUAUUCAUUUUUUAGA